GAAAUGCGAUAAGUAAUGUGAAUUGCAGAAUUCAGUGAAUCAUCGAAUCUUUGAACGCACCUUGCGCUCCUUGGUAUUCCGAGGAGCAUGCCUGUUUGAGUGUCAUGGAAUUCUCAACUCUAUUUGCUUUUGUGAAUAGAGCUUGGAUUUGGAGGUUUAUUGCUGGUACUUGUGAUCGGCUCCUCUUGAAUGCAUUAGCUCGAACCUUUGCGGAUCAGCUAUCGGUGUGAUAAUUGUCUACGCCGUUGCAGUGAAGCAUAUCAAUGGGCUCGGCUUCCAAUCGUCCUUUACUGGACAAUGACUUUGACCUAUGACCUCAAAUCAGGUAGGAUUACCCGCUGAACUUAAGC
This 350-nucleotide unclassified non-coding RNA is filed under the name plant metagenome. RNAcentral describes it as "partial contains 5.8S ribosomal RNA, internal transcribed spacer 2, and large subunit ribosomal RNA". The stretch from base 1 to 105 matches the Rfam family "5.8S ribosomal RNA", at positions 50 to 154 of the family's 154-position model. The record is from RNAcentral.